UACGUAGGAGGCAAGCGUUGUCCGGAAUCACUGGGUGUAAAGCGCGUGUAGGUGGAUGGGUGCGUCUGCUGUGAAAGCCCCUGGCUUAACUGGGGGAGGUCGGUGGAAACGGCUCGUCUGGAGGGUAGUAGAGGGGGGUAGAAUUCCCGGUGUAGUGGUGAAAUGCGUAGAGAUCGGGAGGAAUACCUGUGGCGAAGGCGGCCCCCUGGGCUAUACCUGACGCUGAGACGCGAAAGCACGGGGAGCGAACGGG
RNAcentral lists this ribosomal RNA (253 nucleotides) under uncultured bacterium. RNAcentral's name for it is "partial 16S ribosomal RNA". It matches the Rfam family "Bacterial small subunit ribosomal RNA", at positions 524 to 776 of the family's 1533-position model. The record is from RNAcentral.